AACCUUUAGACAAACAAAUAUUAAAGGCAACGCCUGCCCAGUGAACAAUUAAACGGCCGCGGUACCCUAACCGUGCAAAGGUAGCAUAAUCAUUUGUCUACUAAUUAUAGACCAGCAUGAAAGGCAAAAUGAGGGUCUAACUGUCUCUUAUAAUAAGUCAAUGAAACUGAUCUCCUAGUUAAAAAGCUAGAAUUACAACAUAAGACCAGAAGACCCUGUGAAGCUUAAACUAAACUAUUAAACCAAAUAAUAACUACUUUCGGUUGGGGCGACCUUGGAAAAAAAAAGAACUUCCAAACACCAUGAUCUUUACCUCAUACAAAUAGGCCCACAAGCCAACAACGACCCAGCAUAGCUGAAAACUGAACCAAGUUACUCCAGGGAUAACAGCGCAAUCUUCUUCAAGAGCCCAUAUCAAAAAGCAAGGUUUACGACCUCGAUGUUGGAUCAGGACAUCCUAAUGGUGCAGCCGCUAUUAAGGGUUCGUUUGUUCAACGAUUAAUAGUCCU
Molecule: ribosomal RNA, 509 nt
Filed under: Macroprotodon cucullatus (false smooth snake)
Lineage: Eukaryota; Metazoa; Chordata; Lepidosauria; Squamata; Colubridae
Description: partial 16S ribosomal RNA
Rfam family: Bacterial large subunit ribosomal RNA
Source: RNAcentral